AUUGAACGCUGGCGGCAGGCUUAACACAUGCAAGUCGAGCGGGGUGAUGGUGCUUGCACUAUCACUUAGCGGCGGACGGGUGAGUAAUGCUUAGGAAUCUGCCUAUUAGUGGGGGACAACAUCUCGAAAGGGAUGCCAAUACCGCAUACGUCCUACGGGAGAAAGCAGGGGAUUACUUGUGACCUUGCGCUAAUAGAUGAGCCUAAGUCGGAUUAGCUAGUUGGUGGGGUAAAGGCCUGCCAAGGCGACGAUCUGUAGCGGGUCUGAGAGGAUGAUCCGCCACACUGGGACUGAGACACGGCCCAGACUCCUACGGGAGGCAGCAGUGGGGAAUAUUGGACAAUGGGGGGAACCCUGAUCCAGCCAUGCCGCGUGUGUGAAGAAGGCCUUAUGGUUGUAAAGCACUUUAAGCGAGGAGGAGGCUCUUUUGGUUAAUACCCAAGAUGAGUGGACGUUACUCGCAGAAUAAGCACCGGCUAACUCUGUGCCAGCAGCCGCCGUAA
Molecule: ribosomal RNA, 503 nt
Filed under: uncultured bacterium
Lineage: Bacteria
Description: partial 16S ribosomal RNA
Rfam family: Bacterial small subunit ribosomal RNA
Source: RNAcentral